RNAcentral lists this ribosomal RNA (575 nucleotides) under uncultured Rhizomicrobium sp. RNAcentral's name for it is "bacterial SSU rRNA". It matches the Rfam family "Bacterial small subunit ribosomal RNA", at positions 142 to 751 of the family's 1533-position model. The record is from RNAcentral. Lineage: Bacteria; Pseudomonadati; Pseudomonadota; Alphaproteobacteria; Micropepsales; Micropepsaceae.
AACAACUGAGGGAAACUUCAGCUAAUACCGGAUGAGCCCGAAAGGGGAAAGAUUUAUCGCCAAUAGAUCAGCCCGCGUCCGAUUAGCUAGUUGGUAGGGUAACGGCCUACCAAGGCGACGAUCGGUAGCUGUUCUGAGAGGAAGAUCAGCCACACUGGGACUGAGACACGGCCCAGACUCCUACGGGAGGCAGCAGUUGGGAAUCUUGGACAAUGGGGGAAACCCUGAUCCAGCCAUGCCGCGUGAGUGAUGAAGGCCUUCGGGUUGUAAAACUCUUUCGACGGGGACGAUAAUGACGGUACCCGUAGAAGAAGCUCCGGCUAACUUCGUGCCAGCAGCCGCGGUAAUACGAAGGGGGCUAGCGUUGUUCGGAAUUGCUGGGCGUAAAGCGCGCGCAGGCGGUUCUCCAAGUCAGUGGUGAAAGCCCGGAGCUCAACUCCGGAAUUGCCAUUGAAACUGUUGAACUUGAGUACGAGAGAGGUGAGUGGAAUUCCCAGUGUAGAGGUGAAAUUCGUAGAUAUUGGGAAGAACACCGGUGGCGAANGCGGCUCACUGGCUCGUUACUGACGCUCAGG